Tauraco erythrolophus (red-crested turaco) is the source of this 46-nucleotide non-coding RNA. NCBI's taxonomy places the organism in Eukaryota, Metazoa, Chordata, Aves, Musophagiformes, Musophagidae. The record is from Rfam.
CCAACGGCUCUUUUAAGAGCCACCCACACCUUCCCUAAAGGAGCUG